GGGGGGGAGAAGAGAGAAAGAGAGAAGAAGGAACCGUUUCUGCCCAGCUACAUACAGGGGGAAUUGCAACCGGCUGGUUAUUUUUAGCAUCUGAAGUUAUCUCAUUGCAAGCUUGAGACUCUGUGGUUGCAGAUGCUGGUGCAUAAGGACUGUGUGCAUUGUGGGGGUGGGGGCUGCUUAUAUGUAUUUUUGGGGGUGCUUCUCCCCCCUUCCUCUUGCCACUUCUUCGAGCAAAGAAAUCGCCAGCAGACUGACGGGUCAGAAAAUCAGCGUACCGAGAGCUAACAGAAACUCCGGAAGAAAAAUCCUGACGUUUGGCCGAAAUGCGUUUAAGCCGUAGACUAUGGUUAAUGCCAUAAUUGUCCAGGCUUCCCAAGAGCAUGAAGCAGACUCCGUGUCCCGACAAAAACCGCUUUUGAUUAAGUUACUGUGAAUUCCUCUCAGUCACAUCCAGCAAAGUCUUUCAAGGGGAGAAUUGACAGUCACGGACCUUAUCUGGCUUGGAGAGCUGCCAGGCCGAUAUCUUCAAAACUUGGCAAGGAGUCUCAGAGAGUCACGAACCAACAAAAGAAGUUUCCAUGCCCUGAUAAAUGAAGUUGUUGAUUUUUCUCUAAUCAAGUCAAUUUUUGUCAUCCCUGCCAGUUUUGACAUCUUCAGCAACCAUUCUUCCAUUGCUCUGAAGCCCUUGAAAAUCGCACCGUCAAUGAAGGAAGAAACCGCCUUGGAUUUUGAAGUGUGGGCGAGGUCCUGAUUCUGUCCCAACAUGCGUAAAGGGGCGCCCAAGGAUCCGGAUAUCGCCGAGCUCUUCUACAAAGAUGAUCCUCAGGGAGCUUUUGUGGGUUUACAUGAAAUCGGGCAUGGAAG
Molecule: non-coding RNA, 864 nt
Organism: Pantherophis guttatus
Lineage: Eukaryota; Metazoa; Chordata; Lepidosauria; Squamata; Colubridae
Source: RefSeq, a predicted model, not a curated record